Molecule: ribosomal RNA, 253 nt
Filed under: uncultured bacterium
Lineage: Bacteria
Description: partial 16S ribosomal RNA
Rfam family: Bacterial small subunit ribosomal RNA
Source: RNAcentral
UACGUAGGGGGCAAGCGUUGUCCGGAUUUAUUGGGCGUAAAGAGCGAGUAGGCGGUUCGGUAGGUCCGUUGUGAAAACUCGAGGCUCAACCUCGAGACGCCGAUGGAAACCCCCGAACUAGAGUCCGGAAGAGGAGAGUGGAAUUCCCGGUGUAGCGGUGAAAUGCGCAGAUAUCGGGAAGAACACCCGUGGCUAAGGCGGCUCUCUAGUACGGUACUGACGCUGAGACGCGAAAGCGUGGGGAGCGAACAGG